AUUAAGGUGAAAUUGGGAUUGGGGAAAAAAAUGAAUAAGAUAUUUUAGAGAAAUUUACAGACCAAACAAAUGCAGAUUUUGCUUCUUCUUUCCGUCUACCAAACCAGGGCCAAUAAUUGAUAAAUGUAUGUGUGUUUAUCUGGAUAAUUAAAGAGUAGCUUGCUAAUCAGAGAGAGAGAGGAGAGAUGUGCACAGUCGACACCCAGCACGAGUGUGUGUGUGUAGCUCUUGUCAAGUUCAAAAGUGUUAAUUGAAGCAAAGGGUUUCGCAGUGACAAGCCGCAGCGUUUCCGUUUUGUAGCUGACGCAGCUGCUGUCGCUGCCGUUGGAGUUGCAGUUGCAAGUUACAGUUCGGAGCUGUUGUAUUCAUUCAGCUUGGGGUUCAGAGUUCAAAUGCAGGCAAAAAUAUGUAAAUGCAGGGCGCUUGCGUGUCGGGUCUAUAGGGGGAUUUCGUUCUAACCGAUUUAACCAUUACACAGUAACAACAACAUCAAUUUCGGGCACUGGGAACGGGUCACGAGGUGCCACAGUUGGUUUGAGCCUGGAGAAGCAGAUGGAGGAGGAGGCGAAGGAGAGAGAGGAGGCGGCCCUGGCGCAGGCGCGCAGACUAAACGCUUGUUAAAGGGCGCGCUCGAAAUUGAGGCUCUCAUUGUUGUUGUUGCUGCUGUUGCUGGUGCUGCUGCUGCUGGUGCUGCUGCUGUGUGGUUUGUGGCAACCGCAAAAACAAAUCAAGCGUCAGGCAGAGGCAGACAGGCAGCGGGCGCGCACAAAUCCGAAUUCGAUUUGCAAUUUUCAGGCUUUGCAGUUGAGUAAACAAUUUUGAAUGAAA
This is a long non-coding RNA of Drosophila montana, 828 nucleotides long. RefSeq lists it as uncharacterized. NCBI's taxonomy places the organism in Eukaryota, Metazoa, Arthropoda, Insecta, Diptera, Drosophilidae. The record is from RefSeq and is a predicted model, not a curated record. The transcript is spliced from 2 exons.